UGUAGGUGAACCUGCAGAAGGAUCAUUA
RNAcentral lists this non-coding RNA (28 nucleotides) under Mus musculus (house mouse). The record is from RNAcentral. RNAcentral also lists the same sequence under 1 other name. Lineage: Eukaryota; Metazoa; Chordata; Mammalia; Rodentia; Muridae.